GAAGAAGGCAACCCAAUCUCAGCACCACACAGCUUUCAUCCACCACUUGGAAGAAGAUACCAUUUGGAAGAAGUUCAACAGCUCUCAAAAAAUAAGCAAUAGUGAGAGCAUGAGAAACCCAUCACCAGCCACGAGGCCAUUCUUCUAGAACCAGAGCUAGACCUCCAGAAAAGGAGCUCAAACAGAACUUAGUGAUUCACGGGAGAGUAGAUCCGUAGAGCCAAAUUGGCAUUUUCACCUUAGAAGAUCAAGCAGCCAUCAUACGCGCCGGCUAUGUGUCACGGCCUCACAGGGUCAAGUA
This 301-nucleotide unclassified non-coding RNA is filed under the name Hevea brasiliensis (rubber tree). Lineage: Eukaryota; Viridiplantae; Streptophyta; Magnoliopsida; Malpighiales; Euphorbiaceae. The record is from RNAcentral.